CCUACGGGAGGCAGCAGUGAGGAAUAUUGGUCAAUGGGCGCAAGCCUGACCCAGCAACGCCGCGUGAAGGAAGAAGGCUUUCGGGUUGUAAACUUCUUUUCUCAGGGACGAAGACAGUGACGGUACCUGAGGAAUAAGCCACGGCUAACUACGUGCCAGCAGCCGCGGUACGACGUAGGUGGCAAGCGUUAUCCGGAUUUAUUGGGAGUAAAGGGCGUGUAGGCGGGAGCGCAAGUCAGAUGUGAAAACUCAGGGCUCAACCCUGAGCCUGCAUUUGAAACUGUGUUUCUUGAGUGCUGUAGAGGCAAGCAGAAUUCCGGGUGUAGCGGUGAAAUGCGUAGAUAUACGGAGGAACACCAGUGGCGAAGGCGGAUUGCUGGACAGGAACUGACGCUGAUGUGCGAAAGCGUGGGGAGCAAACAGGAUUAGAUACCCCAGUAGUC
RNAcentral lists this ribosomal RNA (443 nucleotides) under uncultured bacterium. RNAcentral's name for it is "partial 16S ribosomal RNA". It matches the Rfam family "Bacterial small subunit ribosomal RNA", at positions 338 to 795 of the family's 1533-position model. The record is from RNAcentral.